CUGUAAUCAUGUAACUGUUCGAAAUGGAAUUUGUCACUGAAACACAGUGAGAGGAAAUAGAGGAUUAUUUAACAUCUACUCAUCUCACUUCAAGAUCAGUUUAAAAUUGGAUGUGUUUCGUGAUUUCACGAUGGCAAUCACACGAGGGCCGUAUAUAAGAAAGCAAAAUGAUUUGAUAAAACUGGAGCCUUAGAAAAAUCAUCGAGCAGGACAUAUUGGAGGACAAAAUGUCACCUGUAGCAAGACAAGUAAUGAAGGAAAUGAAGCAGUGUAUCAAAGAUGGCAAUACAGAUGAAAGAAAAGGAACCAAAAAGGUUAUUUCAUGAAGGUACAAGAUGCCACGUGGAGAUCAAGCUUAGAUUUUGUAACUAGCGGCCCAUUAAUUUUCUAAAGUAAAGAGCUUUUGGAAAAAUUCAGAUCAGAAAGCAUGUCUGGGGUCCGAGGCCAAGGUGGGGACCCGCUACUCUAAUUACACGUCUCUUCCCUGACAUCCAUCUAUGGGAAGAGCAGAGUUUUCAAACUAGACUGCAAAUAUAUUCACCUCGCCAGAUGCAUGGAUUGUUGCAUGCUUCCUCAGAAACCCAGUCACUAUCAGAAUUGGGAGUCCAGGCUUGCCUCCAGAAGGAGAAAUGGAGAGGAAGCCUUGGCUCACCACGGCAAUGCAUGAGACAAGCGGUGCAAGAGAUUGUGAAAAGUUCUUACUUUUGGAACACAUUAAUGUUACCUACUGCUAAAAGAAUCUAAUAGAUAUUAAGCCAUUACCAGUUGGAUUGGCUCUUUCAACCUCAUAGCAAAUGAUGGGAUGGAAAGAGAAACAAGUAUUCUCUUCUGUAUUCUUCCUAUUGUGGAGGGAAAUGGAGACAUCUUUGCUUAUGGGAAAGGAAGGUGGAGCUAAGAAGAAAAGAUCUCCUCCAUCCCCCCCCAAAUCACUAAAGAAAACCGGAUUUUACUAUUAUAUAAAUGCAACUAACAUUCUAUUAAAUAUGUCGCUUAAUCUAGAAUGCCAAUAAAGUCAUGUCAAAAUCUU
This is a long non-coding RNA of Felis catus (domestic cat), 1027 nucleotides long. RefSeq lists it as uncharacterized. The record is from RefSeq and is a predicted model, not a curated record. The transcript has 3 exons. Lineage: Eukaryota; Metazoa; Chordata; Mammalia; Carnivora; Felidae.